GACGAACGCUGGCGGCGUGCUUAACACAUGCAAGUCGAACGGAAAGGCCCUGCUUUUGUGGGGUGCCCGAGUGGCGAACGGGUGAGUAACACGUGAGUAACCUGCCCUUGACUUUGGGAUAACUUCAGGAAACUGGGGCUAAUACCGGAUAGGAGCUCAUGCUGCAUGGUGGGGGUUGGAAAGUUUCGGCGGUUGGGGAUGGACUCGCGGCUUAUCAGCUUGUUGGUGGGGUAGUGGCAUACCAAGGCUUUGACGGGUAGGCGGCCUGAGAGGGUGACCGGCCACAUUGGGACUACGAUACGGCCCAGACUCCUACGGGAGGCAGCAGUGGGGAAUAUUGCACAAUGGGCGGAAGCCUGAUGCAGCAACGCCGCGUGCGGGAUGACGGCCUUCGGGUUGUAAACCGCUUUCGCCUGUGACGAAGCGUGAGUGACGGUAAUGGGUAAAGAAGCACCGGCUAACUACGUG
This 468-nucleotide ribosomal RNA is filed under the name uncultured bacterium. Its description in RNAcentral is "partial 16S ribosomal RNA". It matches the Rfam family "Bacterial small subunit ribosomal RNA", at positions 28 to 507 of the family's 1533-position model. The record is from RNAcentral.